This 426-nucleotide ribosomal RNA is filed under the name uncultured bacterium. Its description in RNAcentral is "bacterial SSU rRNA". It matches the Rfam family "Bacterial small subunit ribosomal RNA", at positions 354 to 796 of the family's 1533-position model. The record is from RNAcentral.
GCAAGGAAUUUUGCGCAAUGGGCGAAAGCCUGACGCAGCGACGCCGCGUGGGGGAUGAAGGCCUUCGGGUUGUAAACCCCUUUUCCCGAAGAAGAAUUAUGACGGUACUCGGGGAAUAAGUCUUGGCUAACUACGUGCCAGCAGCCGCGGUAAUACGUAGGAGGCGAACGUUAUUCGGAUUUACUGGGCGUAAAGCGGGCGUAGACGGCUUCUUAAGUCGGAUGUGAAAUCUCCUGACUUAAUCAGGAGGGGACAUUCGAUACUACGAAGCUAGAGGACGGUAGAGGAAAGCGGAACUCCCGGUGUAGCGGUGAUAUGCGUAGAUAUCGGGAGGAACACCAGUGGCGAAGGCGGCUUUCUAGGCCGUUCCUGACGUUGAGGCCCAAAAGCGUGGGGAGCGAAACGGAUUAGAAACCCCUGUAGUCC